GACGAACGCUGGCGGCGUGCCUAAUACAUGCAAGUAGAACGCUGAAGCUUGGUGCUUGCACCGAGCGGAUGAGUUGCGAACGGGUGAGUAACGCGUAGGUAACCUGCCUGGUAGCGGGGGAUAACUAUUGGAAACGAUAGCUAAUACCGCAUAAGAGUAGAUGUUGCAUGACAUUUGCUUAAAAGGUGCAAUUGCAUCACUACCAGAUGGACCUGCGUUGUAUUAGCUAGUUGGUGAGGUAACGGCUCACCAAGGCAACGAUACAUAGCCGACCUGAGAGGGUGAUCGGCCACACUGGGACUGAGACACGGCACAGACUCCUACGGGAGGCAGCAGUAGGGAAUCUUCGGCAAUAGACGGAAGUCUGACCGAGCAACGCCGCGUGAGUGAAGAAGGUUGUCGGAUCGUAAAGCUCUGUUGUAAGAGAAGAACGAGUGUGAGAGUGGAAAGUUCACACUGUGACGGUAUCUUAUCAGAAAGGGACGGCUAACUACGUG
Molecule: ribosomal RNA, 497 nt
Filed under: uncultured bacterium
Lineage: Bacteria
Description: partial 16S ribosomal RNA
Rfam family: Bacterial small subunit ribosomal RNA
Source: RNAcentral